CUUGGCUUGCUCAGAGAGACUCUGGAACCUCCACCAUUAGGCUGGGCUGUGAGAGCAGGAAGAGAUCCUUUUCCGUAUGAGGACAUGUGGGAAAGCAGGGCUAAGAGUCCUGGGCCAGGCCAAUGCAGUGACUCAAGAAGAAGCUGAAGUGCUCCUCAGGCCUUGUGAACUGACCGAAGCAACUGGCGAGGUUCAAAGUUUUAUUUCAGGGAAGGCAGGGUUACCUAGAGCCUGGGUGGGGGUUAAUCAAUGUACAUUCAUCAUUAAUUUAUGCAUGUAAGGGGCUUUGGAGCACAGUCGUCAUGCUGGUUUUGAUAACGCUAACUCUAUCCACCCUGCCAGCUGCUGUGAUGUCGUGGUAGUCUGUGUUGCUGCAUGCAGAAUUAUGGUGCUUUUGUGGGAAUAUUAUGUUCCUUGAAUAGAGCCCCACAGAGCAAUUUGCUUCAUCCUUACAAACCCAUCCAAAUAACUGGCAGUGCCUUACAAAUACAAAACAAUCG
RNAcentral lists this long non-coding RNA (500 nucleotides) under Gallus gallus (chicken). RNAcentral describes it as "lncRNA (ENSGALG00010025140.1)". Lineage: Eukaryota; Metazoa; Chordata; Aves; Galliformes; Phasianidae. The record is from RNAcentral.